UCUCCAAGAGGUUCUGCAGCAGCUGCAUGUCUUAGAUUGCUUGGGUAAUGCGGCUGGCAGGUUAUAGAAAACUCAUUGAUAAAUAGAUCAUUAAUACAUGACAAAAAAGACCUAUAAUAAAUCUAAAGAAUAAAAGGACGAUAUAUAGAUGAUAAUGAUAGAGAGAUAUUGCGCAGAGAGCUCAACUAUGACCGAUAGAGACAGAUACAUGACAGAUUAUACUGUACACAGGGAAAUAAAGGAAGGCAGAAGGAAACAUUCAUUUAGGAAUCACAAGGUGUAUCUGUAACCUUGCCCCUAUGUGUGGGGUUAAAAGCCCCCCUAUGUCCAGUAGAAAUACCCCACUUUCCCUAAGUGCCCAGUACCAGGCCGCUACUACCAUGAUGCCCAGUUGAGUAUAAGGGGACUGACAUUCAGGCUGUGGCAAAGCGGCCACUACUUGCUCUGGGAGCGAAGAGGUUACAGCCAGGCAGUAGGAAAUGGAAGCACAGACAGAGGCUCAGUGUUUGGGAAGGGGAGGGAGAGACCUCCGGACACUGCUCAGUUUGUCCCUGUCUGAGGGGCUCCGCUUGGCUCUCUGUGCCCUCUUCCCUCUCUGGAUUGUAACAUCGGGUAACACUGGCACCCCCUGCCCCGGACUGGGGCUCACACCCCCUGCCUCCCAGCUGGGAACACGGGAACAGAAAUUCGUCUUUAGGAUUCUAUACUUGGGAAUAAAAUUCAUAUCGCACACAGAAGGAGGGCCGAGCACUGUAUUGCAUCUAACAAGUGUCCGGCAAAUAAAUGAAAUAAAAUCUCUGAUCCCUUCUUUGCCAGUGGAAGAACAAACCUAAAAUUGCGCCCAUGUGAGUGCCCAGGCGCAAGGAAUGAUAAAGCGUACCCAUUGUGCGCAAUAAUAGCAUUUUAACGCAAUUCUCACAGAAAACCAGGUUGUUACAAUGUUACAUCAAUGCCACAAAUGGAAUUCGAACAAAGCAAUUCACCGGCAGUUAUUGCGCCUGUUUAGACCGAAAUAAAUCCACCUGUUUAGCCAGUGACCGUGGCACAGUAAUGCCACCAGUUUGCGCCGGGAAGCGGGGCAAUAAGUAACGUUGGAAUCAAUACUACCGAAUGCGUUUAAUUAAAACAAAACUAAUGAUGCCCCCCCCCCCCCUCUUCUCCAACCAAGACAGUCAAUUGCGCAUUGUUAGCGCCUAAACGUCCAGCUGUAACAUAUCAACUGCGAAUAUUCCCCUGAUUACACCGGUCUUUUGCUAAUAAAUUCAAGGGGCCGAGGGCGCAUUUCUGGCUCAGAGGGAGCUGAAAAAUAGACAAGUCAGAUGUGCUGGAGCCUGUGGAUUUGAUUUCAUUAAUUCACUCAACGGGACAUAAAAUAGCUCGCACACGACCUUCUGCGGCAGCUUAGCGACUCUUUCAGAGCCAAAUCCGGCCUGAUUCACACGGCUGCUUAAACACCAUUCGGCCAGAUUUAUUGGCUUCCCUCUGGGGAGAACCCGUGUCAGUGGGGCUGUGCCACUCGUGUGUGGAAAUGUCUGUGUGUAUAAAUGUGUUUAUAAAUUGGCUGCGUAUUUAUAUCAUUUAUCUAUCGACUGUGUGUUUGUGUGUAACUGUAUAUGUGUGUUACUGUAUACAUCUGCGCAAUUGCAUGUGUCCGACGUGUGUAGAUAUACAUAUUUCUGUAUGCGUUUUUCAUAGCACAAGUGUGUGUACAAUUCUAUAUAUACAAUGUAUAUGUGUGUGAUUGUAUAAAUGCAUGCCUGUAUGUAUGAGUGUUUAUGUCAAUAAAUAUGUGUACAAUCACAAA
Long non-coding RNA from Xenopus tropicalis (tropical clawed frog), 1804 nucleotides. RefSeq lists it as uncharacterized. The record is from RefSeq and is a predicted model, not a curated record. Lineage: Eukaryota; Metazoa; Chordata; Amphibia; Anura; Pipidae. The transcript is spliced from 2 exons.